This is an RNA transcript of Lynx canadensis (Canada lynx), 3876 nucleotides long. It is a transcript of the gene named coiled-coil domain containing 122, with no coding region annotated. NCBI's taxonomy places the organism in Eukaryota, Metazoa, Chordata, Mammalia, Carnivora, Felidae. The record is from RefSeq and is a predicted model, not a curated record. The transcript has 7 exons.
UUUGGUCAGUUUAACCUGAGAGUCGUGAUAGAAAUAUAACAUAAAUAUCUUAAACAUUUUGUUUUAGCCUGAAACAACUAUAUGCUCAUUUGCCAAUCUACUGAGAAAGCCAUGGCGUUUUCUUUGCACAAGUUCUGCUGAUUAGAGUUUUGUGUUGCAUAUCUUGCAUAAACUACACCUCUAAACCAUCAGCAAAGAUUUCCUAAGAUUUUAUUCCUUUAAGAGGAAAAUAAUUUAAAGGCACUUGCAGAGCUGAGUGCAGAUUUCUUCUUUAUAAUCUUUUAUUGUGAUCUCACACAUUCAAACAACUCACAGUUUGGGGGGUCUUUCCAGAAUAUUAAACAUUAGAUUUUAAAGAAACAAUGAAAUUUAUUUCCACACUAUUUCAUCGCUUUACAUAUUACUAAAUUAUGAAAGCAGAAUAACAAGUACAACUGGCAUAAACAGGUUUGGGAACAAACAGGUAACUCACUGUCAGAUUGUACUGAUAGCAGCAGAAGUAGACAGAUUCACGGGAGAGUAGUUUCCUCAUCAGCAUGAUGUGGGAAUUAGCAGUUUAUGAUUUAUAAAGGAAAUAGAAUGAGUUAAUUGGUUAGAGUUUUUAGUGUAAGUAGACUAAGAGAGCAACUACUAUACCUCUACAUUUUAAUUAUUUUACUGUGUGUCUGUCGCCAUCAUAGAGACGUAGAGCAUUCUGAGGGCAGAGAUAGUGCCUGGCUAUUAAAGGAAACUUUGGGGGAAUCCCUAAAAGUUCUUCUAUCACCAUAUAAAUCUUUAAUCUUCUUACGAAAACAAAUGAAAUUCUGAAAAAUGAACAGUUGUUUUUAAGACAUUUACAUUAAUUCAUGGGUCCCUCAAGAAAAGUAAAUGUAAUAUUGCACAUUUCCUUGUUAAAAGCUUAUAUUAAUUUCCUAAGACUGCCAUAACAAAUUACCACAAACUGGAUAGCUAAAAGCAAAAAAAAUGUAUUCUCUCGUAGUUAUGGAAGCAGAAGUCCCAAAUCUAGGUGUUCUCAUGACCGUGUUUCUUUCAAAGUGUCUCAUUUUUGUUGCCUCUUUAGCUUCUGGUAGCUCCAGGUGUUUCGUUCCUUGGCUUGGGGCUCCAUGUCUUGAGCCUCCUAUGGUCUUCUUAAUGUGCAUCUGAAUCUCAAAUCUCCCUCUACCUUUCUGCUGUAAGAACACUUGUGUGGAAAUAAUGGCCAACCAUAUGAGAAUAAGCAAAGAUUAUUUAUUCAGAGUUUGCUGUGGCAAGGAAGUCAGCCACCAUCACUUGUGGGUUGGCAAAGUAGGAAAGCUUUAUAGUGGAAAAAAAGGAAAUCUUCAAGUAUACCCUGAUUAGAGGCAAUUGGCAUGGGGAAGCUGUAAGUGGGCUAACUAGAAGCAAGGCAUCCUAUGCGAUUGGUUAAGUGUGCAUAUUUGGCUUUCUCUGAUUGAUCCCAAGAUAGAAGUGGUGACAAAAAUUAGGGAAGCUGUCAGUUAUUCAGCAAACCAGCAAACACUGGUCAUUUGGGGCCAGUUGUUACAGAAGUUUUUGUUUGGCUUCUAGAAUUGUUGUUAGAGAUAGUGGUCUGGGUUCCUACAAGCCUGGCUUAUAGACAGCAGGAUGGUUUCCUGGUCUGGUUACUGUAGGAAACAGGUUGGUUUCCUGAGUUGGUUGCUGCCAAUUGUAGGUCAGAAUUCUGUAUUUAUAUAUGGUCUGCCCACUGUUUGCAUAGCCCAUCUCUCACCUGUCAUUGGAUUUAGGGCUAAUCCUAAAUCCAGGAUGAUCUCAUUUCAAGAUCCUUAACUACAACUGCAAACACCAUUUUUCCAAAUUAGCACAUUCACAGAUUCUGGAGUUUGGAACAUGGACAUAUAGGUGUGGGGGCACCAUUCAACCUACAAGCUCCUCUUGGUUUAGAAAUCAUCCUUACUUACUUGUACACAGAGUAAAAAAAAAAAAAAACAAAACAAAAAACCUUGCUUCUUACUGUCCUGAAUGAAACACGUAGGUAGGUUGUGACUGGAUUUCAUCAUACACCUAUCAUUUCUAUUUGAAACAGUUGCCUAGCUAUCCCUUAAAGCUUGGAUUCAAGCUGCGGAUCAAUCUUUGUAUGUUUACACUUUAAAACAAGACAUCUUGGUAGUCCAUUACUAGCGGAACAUUCAGAGAAAUCUCACCGUUUGUAGAAAGCUAGAAGCAGGGUGGUUAAUGUAUUAAUGUUGCCUGUAUUGUCUUUGAUAGGAAGGUAAGGAACACUGCAAAUCCUGGUUUUUUUCUUUCUGUUUUCAGCAUCCUGAAUACUUAAUCACAUUGUCUAGUCAAAGAAGAGAGUAAUGACUACUCUUAGCAGAUCCCAACACACUAGUAUAUAAUAGGCACAAAAAAAGGUGAAUCAAAAAGGGGGAAGAGACAUAGAAGAAUGUCAGGCAACAAAGAAAUGAAGAGUCAAGGAGUUCCUGAAGAAGCUCUGGCUAACCGAGGCACAUCUUCAUUAACUGCUGCUGUAGAGCAAGUUGCAAAGCAACGACAAUCACAAACAUCAGAGAUAGAAAAAAAUAAAAAAGUUCUAUUCCAUUUGCAGGAUGAACUCCAUGAGCUUGAAAAACAAAUAGCAUCUGUCUCUACAGAAACUAAAGAAACAGAAAGGCAAAUUUAUCAGCAAGAUGCUGCCAUCGAGAAUACCAAACUACAGUGUGGGAACCUGGAAACUCAAAUCAAAUCCUUACAUACAGAAAAUGUAAAGCUUAAAUUUGACAUAGAAGAAGCUCAAGAAGACUUUGAGGAACACAUGAUAAGAUAUAAUGAAUAUUAUGCAAAAAUAAAAGAGCAUAAAGAUAGUUUGUGGGAGGCUGGAAGCAAAAGGUCAUUCAUGACUACACUCCAUGAAAAACGAGAUCUUGUUAGAAAACUAAAAACAAUGAAAGAGGAACUUAUGCAAAAUCUCAAAAAUCCAGAAGGAAACCACAUAAAACAAGCACAGGAAGACAUUAUAAAGCUGAAGGCUAAAAUUAUAGCUGUAAAAGAAUCUAUCAUUGAAAAAACUUUCUUUCUUGAGGAAGAAGAAAAGACACAUGAAAAAUUAAGAAAAGAAAUAGAGGUACAACAUAAGAGAUAUAAUGCAAUUCUUAAGCGUUUGCAUUGUCAAGUGAACAAGCUUCAGUCAAAUAGAAGACAAUGGCAAUCGAACAUUCAACAACUGGAAAAAACUGCAGCUGAACUGAGAAAACGCAUUGGAAUGAAAUACUAACGUGGCUAAAGGGCAAUGUAGAACAUAGACCAAGCCAACGAAACAGAAAAUUCUUUGGAUUCUUAACAACCAGCAUCUACUACCAGAGCAAUGUAUGAGACUGCUUGCUUCUCCAAAGUCUUGCCAUCAGAGUACAUUGUCAAGCUUUUGGAUUUUUGCCCACAUGAUAAGAGAGUGAACUUUUAUAUAAAUUCAUUUUAAUUCACAUUUCUCUAAUAAUUGAAUUUGAGCAUCUUUCAUAUGUUCAAAGGCCAUAAACAUUUCUUUUUCUGUGAAUUCUUUUUAAAAUGUUUACCCCUUUAAAAAAUUAGAGUUGAUGGCUCUUCUCAAUUCUUUGAGACCUCUUGUAUAAGCAAUAAUAAUCCUUUGUUGUUGUUGUUUACUGUGGUAAAAUAUAUAUAACAUAAAAUUUACCAUUUUAACUAUUUUUAUGUGUACAGUUCAGUAGCUUUAAGUACAUUCACAUUGUUGUGCUGUUAACCAGCAACUUCACUCCCAUCCAUGUCCAGGACUUAUUCAUCUUCAACUGAAACUCUGUACUGAUUAAACAGUAGCUUUCCAUUCUUCCUCCCUCCUGUUUCUGGAAACUACCUUUCUAUUUUACAUCUCCAUGAAUUUGACUUCCCUAGGUACCUCAUGUAAGUGAA